Molecule: non-coding RNA, 226 nt
Organism: Cinara cedri
Lineage: Eukaryota; Metazoa; Arthropoda; Insecta; Hemiptera; Aphididae
Source: the annotation of a GenBank genome assembly
UAACCGUUUCUGCGUAAAUUUUUUCUCGUUUUUCCGGAAGUUUUCCGCGAUUAUUAAGAAAACUACCACGUUGCAAGGAAAAUAAAAAAUUACUUCUCGCUGCACCAUGUAGAAAAAAAUUGUCCAUCUGAAACGACCUAUAAAAUUGACGAUCGGACCAAGAUUUCUGGUAGACCAAAAUGGUUCAGACAGCAAAAUAAAAUAAAUUAAAAGCGCACAUCAUAGU